ACGCUAGCUACAGGCUUAACACAUGCAAGUCGAGGGGAAACGACAUUGAGUGCUUGCACUCUUUGGACGUCGACCGGCGCACGGGUGAGUAACGCGUAUCCAACCUUCCCAUUACUGUGGGAUAACCUGCCGAAAGGCAGACUAAUACCGCAUAGUCUUCGAUGACGGCAUCAGAUUUGAAGUAAAGAUUUAUCGGUAAUGGAUGGGGAUGCGUCUGAUUAGCUUGUUGGCGGGGUAACGGCCCACCAAGGCAACGAUCAGUAGGGGUUCUGAGAGGAAGGUCCCCCACAUUGGAACUGAGACACGGUCCAAACUCCUACGGGAGGCAGCAGUGAGGAAUAUUGGUCAAUGGACGGAAGUCUGAACCAGCCAAGUAGCGUGCAGGAUGACGGCCCUAUGGGUUGUAAACUGCUUUUGUAUGGGGAUAAAGUUAGGGACGUGUCCCUAUUUGCAGGUACCAUACGAAUAAGGACCGGCUAAUUCCGUGCCAGCAGCCGCGGUAAUACGGAAGGUCCAGGCGUUAUCCGGAUUUAUUGGGUUUAAAGGGAGCGUAGGCUGGAGAUUAAGUGUGUUGUGAAAUGUGGACGCUCAACGUCUGACUUGCAGCGCAUACUGGUUUCCUUGAGUACGCACAACGUUGGCGGAAUUCGUCGUGUAGCGGUGAAAUGCUUAGAUAUGACGAAGAACUCCGAUUGCGAAGGCAGCUGACGGGAGCGCAACUGACGCUUAAGCUCGAAGGUGCGGGUAUCAAACAGGAUUAGAUACCCUGGUAGUCCGCACAGUAAACGAUGGAUGCCCGCUGUUGGUACCUGGUAUCAGCGGCUAAGCGAAAGCAUUAAGCAUCCCACCUGGGGAGUACGCCGGCAACGGUGAAACUCAAAGGAAUUGACGGGGGCCCGCACAAGCG
RNAcentral lists this ribosomal RNA (907 nucleotides) under uncultured bacterium. Its description in RNAcentral is "bacterial SSU rRNA". It matches the Rfam family "Bacterial small subunit ribosomal RNA", at positions 33 to 931 of the family's 1533-position model. The record is from RNAcentral.